UAGAAGAGACAUCGGUACAUUUUUCCAGCAAUGAACCUGCUGGAGAGACAGAAGAUGCCAGUGUAAGCUUAGACCUGGCUGGAGUUGACACUGGUGCAGACCAAGUUGUUAAGCCAGCACCCCACUCUGACCAUGACUAUGCUGAACUGUCGGUCACUGCAAGAGCAGCUAGAAGCAGCACGGAAGGAGAUUGCCCGCCUUACGCAGGAGAAUACCAUCCUCAAGGCAUCCUGUUUCAGCUUGAAGCAAAAAUGAUUCAAAGUUCUUGACAUUCUACACUGGAUUUCGGGUGAAUAAUUAUCCAACAUGAAGUCUUUUUCUACAGUGUUGUUACUAUAGUACUUUCUACAGUAUUAGCAAUACUUUGGACACAAACUCAUACAGUAAUUUAUUUUCCUUGUGCAUUAACAUUGUGCUGAUCUCUGUAUUGUACAGUAAAAAAUAAAAGGCGUCGAUUUUC
Molecule: long non-coding RNA, 460 nt
Organism: Alosa sapidissima (American shad)
Lineage: Eukaryota; Metazoa; Chordata; Actinopteri; Clupeiformes; Clupeidae
Exons: 3
Source: RefSeq, a predicted model, not a curated record